Molecule: long non-coding RNA, 701 nt
Organism: Salvia miltiorrhiza (redroot sage)
Lineage: Eukaryota; Viridiplantae; Streptophyta; Magnoliopsida; Lamiales; Lamiaceae
Exons: 2
Source: RefSeq, a predicted model, not a curated record
GGCCCAACACAAUUUAUUAUUACUAAUCCCAUUGAGAUUAAUAGGCCCAAAUACCAGCUUAAACCCAAUUACUAGUUUGAGCCCAAUUAACCAUUUUCAGUUUUAAAUAAAUUAAAAUUAAUAACCUUCUUUAAAACAUAAAACAAGUUAAUCUCUCUCUGUUUUCUAUUUCUUCCCCACGCAGACAUCUCUCCCUCUCUCGGCCGCCUCUCUCGGCCGCCUCUCUCUCCCCCCUUCUCCGGCGAGCGUCGCCGGCUCUCGCCGCUUCCGGCGCGGCGAGGCUGACGCAUCUUCUCCCCUUCCUCUUUCUUCCCUCUCCUUCCUACAUUUAAUUCCCCAAAUUCUAAAAUCAAUUCAACCUAGGGUUUUCAAUCUCCCCCAUCAAUUUUACUCCGCUGGAGAAUCCCGGCGAAUAACGUCGCCGCCGCCCCAGCUCGUCGGAUUUCCGCUCCUCCGUCGUUCUCCCUGCCUCAGGAAUCGAUGAUUCAAGGAAUCUCCAGUUCGUUUACUGCUCAAGAUCCAAUUUUUUUAUAUGUUAAAAGUCUGUUUUUCUUUAUUGCUUAUUGAGAAACUGAGGCUGUGUUUGUGAAAUAGUAAUAGAGAUGUGUCUUUAACAAGUAUUAUUACUGUUUUCACUAUUCUUGGUUGCUUUCCUGUACAUGAAGAAUUUACUGUAUUGAAAAGAAAGACUACCUUCUUUA